This is a long non-coding RNA of Portunus trituberculatus (swimming crab), 620 nucleotides long. RefSeq lists it as uncharacterized. The record is from RefSeq and is a predicted model, not a curated record. NCBI's taxonomy places the organism in Eukaryota, Metazoa, Arthropoda, Malacostraca, Decapoda, Portunidae. The transcript is spliced from 3 exons.
AGGUUUCGAGCGUGGAGAAUCGUUAAAUCAAGAGCAGGUACCGCCAUAAAAAAUAAGACAUCAGAAAAUUUCCUUCCUCCGUGUGCCAUGCCUUGAAAGGAUUCCUUACCAACUGGUUAUGAUUAUCAUAUUUGCAAGCAUCAAGUCGUGGACAAAGGAUAUGAAGCAGAGUUUAGAAUAGCCAUUGACAGUGAAGAAAGUGCUAGAACUUGGAUCAAACAAUACCAAAAGAUUAGUAAGGUUACUCUCCGGGUAGCAGCAACAAAGCCUACAAGUGGUAAGGCGAACCUUUUCAAAAUCUUCUAUCGAUGCCAGCACAAGACAUUGCCACGUUCAGUGACAGCCAAUCAGAAAACUUCAUCUAAGAACACACAUUGUCCAGCACAACUUAAUUUGACUGUUAAAGGAAUACCUGCACAACUGAACAAAUCCAAAAAUGAAGACCUUCACUUGCCGAUCUAUCCAACUGUGGUCAAGAUCAAAUACACUCAUAACCACAUGAUCAACAGUGCAGAUACCCUUAAGCAUAGAGAUGUUAGUGAGGAUACCAUAGAGAUCUUAAAAAACCUGUAUGCCAAAGGCCAUUCUCCUGCAUCUGCACUGAACACACAUAAGUUAGA